Molecule: ribosomal RNA, 486 nt
Filed under: uncultured bacterium
Lineage: Bacteria
Description: partial 16S ribosomal RNA
Rfam family: Bacterial small subunit ribosomal RNA
Source: RNAcentral
AUUGAACGCUGGCGGCAUGCCUUACACAUGCAAGUCGAACGGCAGCACGGGUGCUUGCACCUGGUGGCGAGUGGCGAACGGGUGAGUAAUACAUCGGAACAUGUCCUGUAGUGGGGGAUAGCCCGGCGAAAGCCGGAUUAAUACCGCUUACGAUCUACGGAUGAAAGCGGGGGACCUUCGGGCCUCGCGCUAUAGGGUUGGCCGAUGGCUGAUUAGCUAGUUGGUGGGGUAAAGGCCUACCAAGGCGACGAUCAGUAGCUGGUCUGAGAGGACGACCAGCCACACUGGGACUGAGACACGGCCCAGACUCCUACCGGAGGCAGCAGUGGGGAAUUUUGGACAAUGGGCGAAAGCCUGAUCCAGCAAUGCCGCGUGUGUGAAGAAGGCCUUCGGGUUGUAAAGCACUUUUGUCCGGAAAGAAAUCCUUGGCCCUAAUACGGUCGGGGGAUGACGGUACCGGAAGAAUAAGCACCGGCUAACUACGUG